UAACGAUAUCGUUUGCAAAUCGGAGGUGU
RNAcentral lists this small RNA (29 nucleotides) under Bombyx mori (domestic silkworm). RNAcentral describes it as "ovarian small RNA-18814". The record is from RNAcentral. Lineage: Eukaryota; Metazoa; Arthropoda; Insecta; Lepidoptera; Bombycidae.